GAUGAACGCUGGCGGCGUGCCUAAUACAUGCAAGUCGAGCGAACAGACGAGGAGCUUGCUCCUCUGACGUUAGCGGCGGACGGGUGAGUAACACGUGGAUAACCUACCUAUAAGACUGGGAUAACUUCGGGAAACCGGAGCUAAUACCGGAUAAUAUAUUGAACCGCAUGGUUCAAUAGUGAAAGACGGUUUUGCUGUCACUUAUAGAUGGAUCCGCGCCGCAUUAGCUAGUUGGUAAGGUAACGGCUUACCAAGGCCACGAUGCGUAGCCGACCUGAGAGGGGGAUCGGCCACACGGGAACUGAGACACGGUCCAGACUCCUACGGGAGGCAGCAGUAGGGAAUCUUCCGCAAUGGGCGAAAGCCUGACGGAGCAACGCCGCGUGAGUGAUGAAGGUCUUCGGAUCGUAAAACUCUGUUAUUAGGGAAGAACAAAUGUGUAAGUAACUAUGCACGUCUUGACGGUACCUAAUCAGAAAGCCACGGCUAACUACGUG
Molecule: ribosomal RNA, 497 nt
Filed under: uncultured bacterium
Lineage: Bacteria
Description: partial 16S ribosomal RNA
Rfam family: Bacterial small subunit ribosomal RNA
Source: RNAcentral